CAGCCGCCGCGGUAAUACCAGCACCUCAAGUGGUCAGGAUGAUUAUUGGGCCUAAAGCAUCCGUAGCCUGCUUUGUUAGUUUUCGGUUAAAUCCAUACGCUCAACGUAUGGGCUGCCGGGAAUACUGCAAAGCUAGGGAGUGGGAGAGGUAGACGGUACUCGGUAGGAAGGGGUAAAAUCCUUUGAUCUAUUGAUGACCACCUGUGGCGAAGGCGGUCUACCAGAACACGUCCGACGGUGAGGGAUGAAAGCUGGGGGAGCAAACCGGAUUAGAUACCCGGGUAGUCCCAGCUGUAAACUAUGCAAACUCGGUGAUGCAUUGGCUUGAUGCCAAUGCAGUGCCGCAGGGAAGCCGUUAAGUUUGCCGCCUGGGAAGUACGUACGCAAGUAUGAAACUUAAAGGAAUUGGCGGGGGAGCAC
This 420-nucleotide ribosomal RNA is filed under the name uncultured Nitrososphaerota archaeon. RNAcentral describes it as "bacterial SSU rRNA". It matches the Rfam family "Archaeal small subunit ribosomal RNA", at positions 459 to 879 of the family's 1478-position model. The record is from RNAcentral. Lineage: Archaea; Thermoproteati; Nitrososphaerota.